Long non-coding RNA from Astatotilapia calliptera (eastern happy), 1114 nucleotides. Lineage: Eukaryota; Metazoa; Chordata; Actinopteri; Cichliformes; Cichlidae. The record is from Ensembl.
UUUGAAUCCAGGUUUAGAAAAUGUAAAAAUAAUGUGAUAUUUGGGUUAAAGAUACAUUUUUUACUCAUAACUUCUUAUUCGUUUAUGUUCUUUAGUGGUGGUUUGAUUCUUUCUAGAUGUUUCUUGAUAUUUUAAGUGUACUUUUGCCUCCCUUUGUGUUUGUUUUGCAUCACUCUGUGCACCUAUUGCGUCUUUUUGUGCCUUUCUUUCACUUUUCUACUAGGCAAAUAUGUUCUUUGUGGUGAUUUGGAGUCAUUAGAUCACAACUACUACAUCUCUUUGGUGCUUUGUGUUUCUUUGAAUCUUUAUUUGAUUUUCUGUAGUUGUUCUACAUCUCAUUGCAGUUAUUUUGAUAGUUUUCAAGUUGCAUUUCUGUAAUUAUGUGGUUUUGAUCAUUUUAUAGUUUUUUUUUUUAUAUAUCUCUUGCUUUUUUUUUUUUUUUUUUUAGUGUUUCUGAUGCUUUGAGUAAUAGUUUGGCAUCUUUUUCUGUCUGUACACUUUAUAAAUCUCUUUCUGGAGAUUUUGCUUCUCUUGCUUAUUUUUUUGAUAGAUUUUUGAGUGCUAAUACUCACUGAUACUGUACUGUACUGAUAGUCACUAGAGUCCCAUUGGUUGUUUUGACUCGUGUGUGUGUGUGUGCGCAUUCAUGAACUUUGCCAAGAUAAUCUACCUAUCUCUUAUUUUGGAUUUCCAUUCAUUUCUGUGGCCACAAAUGGUCCUGACCACUGUUGCUUAAAUUGCUGGACAGAUUACUUCCCAUGUACACGUUUCCAUAUGUUGUGCCUUUGCCUCUGGACAUUAGCUCGGGAAGCAUCUGGUGUUGACUCCCUCAGCAGCUCCACUCGUAUACAGGCUCAGCAGCAGGAGCAGCCCAGAGUCUCUUCCCUCUUCCUCCCUUCCUCACUCUAGCUCGUCAGCUCCCCCGUCUCCAUGGAUAAACACAGGAAUAAUUCACCAGCACUCUUGCAGUGAAAUAUGAAACCAUCUCUGGUGCCACAGUGCCUGCAGGCCCAGACCAGCUGGAACAUUCUGUAAGAGGAAAAGAUGAGAUCUUCAGCUUCCAUGAAGAUGUGCCAAAGAUUUCCUCCUUUUUCUCCAAGAGACGGUCUUUGAG